This 252-nucleotide ribosomal RNA is filed under the name uncultured bacterium. Its description in RNAcentral is "partial 16S ribosomal RNA". It matches the Rfam family "Bacterial small subunit ribosomal RNA", at positions 524 to 776 of the family's 1533-position model. The record is from RNAcentral.
UACGUAGGGUGCAAGCGUUGUCCGGAAUUAUUGGGCGUAAAGAGCUCGUAGGCGGUUUGUCGCGUCUGCUGUGAAAACUGGGGCUCAACCCCCAGCCUGCAGUGGGUACGGGCAGACUAGAGUGCGGUAGGGGAGAUUGGAAUUCCUGGUGUAGCGGUGGAAUGCGCAGAUAUCAGGAGGAACACCGAUGGCGAAGGCAGAUCUCUGGGCCGCUACUGACGCUGAGGAGCGAAAGCAUGGGGAGCGAACAGG